GCAGAGUGCAAACCAUUUUGAC
Molecule: microRNA, 22 nt
Filed under: Monodelphis domestica (gray short-tailed opossum)
Lineage: Eukaryota; Metazoa; Chordata; Mammalia; Didelphimorphia; Didelphidae
Description: mdo-miR-759
Gene: mdo-miR-759
Source: miRBase by way of RNAcentral